RNAcentral lists this ribosomal RNA (607 nucleotides) under Ensifer sp. SCH-31. RNAcentral describes it as "bacterial SSU rRNA". It matches the Rfam family "Bacterial small subunit ribosomal RNA", at positions 201 to 826 of the family's 1533-position model. Lineage: Bacteria; Pseudomonadati; Pseudomonadota; Alphaproteobacteria; Hyphomicrobiales; Rhizobiaceae. The record is from RNAcentral.
GAAAAGAUUUAUCGGGAAAGGAUGAGCCCGCGUUGGAUUAGCUAGUUGGUGGGGUAAAGGCCUACCAAGGCGACGAUCCAUAGCUGGUCUGAGAGGAUGAUCAGCCACAUUGGGACUGAGACACGGCCCAAACUCCUACGGGAGGCAGCAGUGGGGAAUAUUGGACAAUGGGCGCAAGCCUGAUCCAGCCAUGCCGCGUGAGUGAUGAAGGCCCUAGGGUUGUAAAGCUCUUUCACCGGUGAAGAUAAUGACGGUAACCGGAGAAGAAGCCCCGGCUAACUUCGUGCCAGCAGCCGCGGUAAUACGAAGGGGGCUAGCGUUGUUCGGAAUUACUGGGCGUAAAGCGCACGUAGGCGGACAUUUAAGUCAGGGGUGAAAUCCCAGAGCUCAACUCUGGAACUGCCUUUGAUACUGGGUGUCUAGAGUAUGGAAGAGGUGAGUGGAAUUCCGAGUGUAGAGGUGAAAUUCGUAGAUAUUCGGGAGGAACACCAGUGGCGAAGGCGGCUCACUGGUCCAUUACUGACGCUGAGGUGCGAAAGCGUGUGGAGCAAACAGGAUUAGAUACCCUGGUAGUCCACGCCGUUAAACGAUGAAAUGUUAGCCCGUC